GCGAUCUCGCUCUGGUGAGCGUUGAUGGUGAACGGAGCCGCUGACGUUCCAGGUUUGGUGUUGGACAGAUCCUGGAGGAGGGGAGGGGACGGGUGGGACAUCGUUCCCGACAGGAAGUGCGGCUCAGCCAGCCGCACUUCCUUGACAUCAGUCAAGCCAAGUUUGAAUAAUUUCUGCUGAUAUCAAACAAGCUUUUUCCAAGGCAUUAACAUGCAUCGAUUUACACAGAAAUAAUGGGAAUGAUUACAGUGCUGUGAAAAACUAUUGGUCCGUUCUCAAAUUCUUAUAUUUUUGCAUAGAUUCCCCACUUUAAUGUUUAAGCUCAUCAAGCAAAUGUAAAUAUCAGACAAAUAUAACCAAAGUGAACUUAAAAUGCUGUUUUUAAGUGGUGAUUUCAUUCAUUAAGGAAAAAAACUUCGAAUUAUUGG
Molecule: long non-coding RNA, 428 nt
Organism: Phyllopteryx taeniolatus (common seadragon)
Lineage: Eukaryota; Metazoa; Chordata; Actinopteri; Syngnathiformes; Syngnathidae
Exons: 2
Source: RefSeq, a predicted model, not a curated record